CAAUAUACGUGAUCUAAUCCACCUACACGAUGAAGACACUUAUUUAACGCGUUUCUGCUGAGAUUUGGGAUUUAAUUCAUAUUAAGCCUUUCUUCUCUUCUUCCACGAAUUUAGACGUCUUUCCCUCUCCUCGGAAAGAACUGAAAACCCUAAGAAGAGAGGAGUCUUCUUCUUCAAGUUUGUCUUCGCUUUGUCUUAAAUCGAUGUGCUUUUGUUCCAUUGAAGUUCUCUUCUGGUUGGGAUUUGGCACUUCAAUAAGAAGUUGAGGGAUAAUGGGACAUCACGACCAUCAUCACCAUCAUGACAAUGACAGCCCAUAUGAUGAUCCUUUCUUGGUAUGCUGCUGCUGCCCCUGCUUUGCGAUUCUCUCCAUCUUUAGGGGAAUUGGAAGGUGCGUCUUUGUGGCUUGCUUCCCCUUGUUGAGAUGUCUUGGCCUUGAUGAUUGUAGGCAUCACCACCACCACCAUCAUCAUUGUCAUUUCCAUUAAUGUUGUGUACCUACAGCCAUUGGUCUAAAUAGUUAUUCUAUUUAUAUAUGUUAAAAUGUAAUAAACAAUUUAUUUUGUUUGAAAACCAAUGGAUGUGAGAUCAAAUGGAUUGAUUUCAAGAACCUUGAUGCUUUGUCCCA
Long non-coding RNA from Dendrobium catenatum, 628 nucleotides. RefSeq lists it as uncharacterized. The record is from RefSeq and is a predicted model, not a curated record. Lineage: Eukaryota; Viridiplantae; Streptophyta; Magnoliopsida; Asparagales; Orchidaceae. The transcript has 2 exons.